GCCUUCGUGGUGGAAUGGUAUACACACAUGCUUGAGGUGCAUGGGUCGCAAGGCCGUGCGAGUUCGAGUCUCGC
RNAcentral lists this transfer RNA (74 nucleotides) under Candidatus Moraniibacteriota bacterium. RNAcentral's name for it is "tRNA-Leu". It matches the Rfam family "tRNA", at positions 1 to 63 of the family's 71-position model. From Rfam's summary of the family: Transfer RNA (tRNA) molecules are approximately 80 nucleotides in length. Their secondary structure includes four short double-helical elements and three loops (D, anti-codon, and T loops). The record is from RNAcentral. Lineage: Bacteria; Candidatus Moraniibacteriota.